UGGGGGGAGAUUGCAAAAAAAAAAAUGUGAGUCUGAAAUGAAUAUGCAAUGAUACUAGGAAAUUAUUGACAGUUUUCUUAGGUGUGAUAAUGACAGUUACAUGAUGAUAUAAGAAUAUCUGUUUUUAGGAGAUACAUGCUCAAGUAUUUAUGGGUGAAGUGUCAUGAUGUCUGCAAUACAUCUUCAAAGUGUUUUAUCAAAACGAAACACAUUUAUAUGUACAUAUAUAUGCAUAUAGAGACAUAAAGCACAGUUGGCAAAUGAUAACUUGUUGAAUAACAGUGAGGGAUAUAUAGGUGUUCAUCAGACAUGUUUCACUUGCUUUCUUUUUGGAAAUUUUUCAUAAUAAAAACUUGCAAAAAUACGUGAAGAUCAGAAAAUAAUAAUUGGACUGCGCAGCGAAGGGAAAUCUGAGAUCCUCAUCACGAGAUGGUGAGAUACUCCGGGCUUCACUCUCGCUCUCUGUGUCUGUGAAAAUGAAGGAUUGGGCAGACGUUUGUUUUUAACUUUGGCAAACUACGCAUCGCAUAACAUUUGCCAUCUUAACCAUGUUUAAGUGUACAGUUCGGGGGCAUUAAGCACAUUCCCAUUGCUGUGCAGCCAUCACCCCCAUCCAUCUCCAGGACGUUUUCAUCUUGCAAAACAGAAACGCUGUACCUAUUAAAUAACUCAUCCCUCACCCACAGCUUCUAGCAGCCACUAUUCUACUUUCUGUCUCUGUGAUGUUGACUUCUCCAGAUACCUCGUGUAAGUGGAAUAAAGUAUUUAUCUUUCUGUGAUUGGCUUAUUGUACUUAACAGAAUGUCUUCAAGGUUCAUCUGUGUUGUAGCACGUGUCAGAAUUCGCUUCCUUUUUAAGGCUGAAUAUUCCAUUGCACAGAUAUACUCUAUUUUGUUUACUUAUUCAUUUGUCGAUAGACCCUGGGUAGCCUCCUCCGCUUGGCUGUUGUGAAUACCGCUGCUGGGAAGACGGGCAUACGGGUAUCUCUUUGAGUCCCCACUUUGAUGCUUCAGGUGCACACCCAGGAGAGGAAUGGCUGGAUCUGGGUGGGGUGAUUUGUAAAGGAUUCUUUCCUGCUUUCCAAAUGAGCUUAUGACACGUGUCCUUUUAAACUGCAAACCACUCAUCUUGCAGAAAUGCGUGGACAGACCACCUUUCAAGGAUGUACCAACUGUAGUCACAAGACUGCUAUGUCCUCACCCUCUCCCCAGCUUCUACAUUCUUUUCUUCAGAGAAGGAGACCUCCCUACAUGCUCUUGGGUAGAUAAGAAACAACCGGAAGAGAAAAAUGCUCACCCUUCAGGGGACAAUGAUAAAAUGCCUCGCGAGGGCUCCCUGCGAGUAUCCAGAGAACACAGGCGCGGAAGUCACCGGGAGCUUAUGGCGCAGUAACCAGAUGCCGUGUGUUUCAUUAAUAACCAGCCUGCCACGUAAAUUAGCACAGCCCACCCGGUAGGAAUCAGGCGGACGCGCCCUGUUUGCUUGUUUGCCCUCAGCAGCUAAGGCUUCUGGACUAGCCCAUGAAAGAGAGGGCAGAGUUCCACAGCUGAAUAUUUCUGGCGAACCAACCAUCUUGUGAAGUGAAGGCACCCCAGAACCUCACACCGUGGUCUUCCACCAGGAAGCUACCCGUCCCCAUCUCGAGAUUCCUGGAGGCAGGAGCAUGGGAGGGUUGAGCUCACAGACCGAGGGAGAUAAUGCCUGUGUGGUACCCAAGAGCAAAGGGCCAAUAAAGAUUUGUUUGAAUCGAAAA
Molecule: long non-coding RNA, 1753 nt
Organism: Lagenorhynchus albirostris (white-beaked dolphin)
Lineage: Eukaryota; Metazoa; Chordata; Mammalia; Artiodactyla; Delphinidae
Exons: 3
Source: RefSeq, a predicted model, not a curated record